This is an RNA transcript of Carassius auratus (goldfish), 1923 nucleotides long. RefSeq lists it as uncharacterized. Lineage: Eukaryota; Metazoa; Chordata; Actinopteri; Cypriniformes; Cyprinidae. The record is from RefSeq and is a predicted model, not a curated record. The transcript is spliced from 6 exons.
UUACAUUUAAUUGAUGUUUUAUUUAUUGAUAUAUAUAAUAGAAAUGUGUUAAUUAAUUAAGUGUGAUAAUGCAACAGACCAUUAUCACUAAUCAGCUCUUUGUGUACAGCACAGCAGGAUGAAGGUGAAGGUGAUCUUCCCAGGCAAAAUUAAAGUGUGCUUCAGGAAAGGACCAACUGGAUAUCUGAGACAAGAUCCCUCAGAUGAAGCCAAGAGGAUCAAAGACAACCCCAAUCUCCAGGACAAAUCAGCCCCUCAGGGGGAAGACAAGGUCAAGGAAAAUGCUCGCUCUGUUGUCUUCAUGAGAGGAGGAGAUGUGUCAGACCGACAGGAGGUGCUGGGAGAGUAUGUGCUUCAGUUUGGAAAGUACAAAGGCAAGUCAUUCCGGUGGCUGCUUGAGAAUGAUGUAGGCUAUACCAUGUUCUUGACUAAGAAGGUUGAGGACGAGGAGAGAGCCGGACAGUUUAAACCAGAGGGUCCCAAGAAGGACAGCCUACUUUCAUUUCUUGACUACAGUAGAAGCUACCAGGAAAUCAAGGACCUCAUAAAGUAUUUAUCUGGAAGAUCAGUGGCACCACCUGUAAGAAAUGAAGAUGACAACUUGGUUGGCUUUGGGAUUAAUGCAGACAAGACUUGGUGGGAUAUUUGGGAGAGCAGAGCAGAUGGAUAUGCUGCAUUCAUCCUCCAGAAACAGUGUGUUCCAGGCAGCAAAAUGUAUCGGCUGCAGCAAUACCUCACUCAGAAAAAGAGACAGCUUCAGAGUGUUUCAGAGGAACUUGCUUCCUCUGGCCUUGCAGCAUCUGCCUCUCAUCCUCUAGAAAUGGAGGAUGAUGAAGAAUUGGAGAGAAUGAUGCUUUCUAUAUCCCCAUCAAAACUCCAAGGCCAACUGAAAGUGGAGGAGGGUGAAGAAUUGGGUAGGAUGAUGCUACCCGCAUAUUCAUCUAAAAUUCCAGGCCAGCUGAGUUCAGAAGUUGUUGGAGUCCCAGUGGUCAAAGGUCUUAUUCUACUGCAUACAAGGGAUGAUUCUGACAUGAAUCAGGAUUAUCUGUUCUGCAUUGAUUUGUUGCUGUUUGUUGUUUAGGCCAUGUUCAGGCCUGUUCUUAUUCUUGUGUUCAAUUGUUCUACUAACAUUGAAGGCAUUUAUAUCUCAUCAUUGACGGGAGGCGUAAACCACCAGCAACACUCUCAAAACCAGAACGGCCUGAUGAAUAUAGUGCUACUGCAUCUCCAUGGUCAGCCCUCCUCCCAGUGACCACUGCACAGUCUACAACCUCUACUCCUCCCUCAGGACCCCCUGCAGCUGCUGGCCAGUCUUUCUCUGGAAUCCCUGCAGCCUCUACUGGGUACCCCUCAAUUCAGCUGGAGGAGAAUCAUGCUGUUCCACCACUGCCAAGCUAUGAGCAGGAUGUGAGCCGAUGGCACUGCUCUCAACAGCAAAGAAUCUGGAUGAAAACAGAAAUGGAAGCCUUGGGACUGUGGCCAGGUUCUAGACCGGUGAGACAUCCAAUGAACAUGAUCUCCUUGUGGCGUUACCCACCUCAGCCUGAGCUUAUUGAUCCUGUCUAUGAGCUGCCAUCACCUAAAUACUUUCAACUUCAUCCAUUCUUCAUUUGGAAACCAGAGCACACCAUUAUGGAAAGAGUCCGCAACAACUACACUCUGCCAUGUCUGUACAGCUGUCCGAAUCCCCACGUUGUCUCAUCAGGAGUUGGACGACCCCGUGUCAUUAUUGGUACAAGCAGCCAGUACUACAUUCUGGCCUCUCGGCUCAGCUGUAAAGUCUGUAAAAAGUACUGGUUUGCAGACAAACCCCAAUGGAUGGACAUGCUGCCGAGUCGGUUCUGCAACAUUUUGCCAGCUUUUCUGACGCACAAGAAGGCCAUAUGUAAGACUGUGAUGGAUGAGUUGCGGCGUACAGGAAAG